Molecule: long non-coding RNA, 360 nt
Organism: Eptesicus fuscus (big brown bat)
Lineage: Eukaryota; Metazoa; Chordata; Mammalia; Chiroptera; Vespertilionidae
Exons: 2
Source: RefSeq, a predicted model, not a curated record
GGGUGACGCACCCGGAACCAGAAAAGAGGGAGCUCUAUUCCGGGGUGUGUCACCCGAGAACCACCCUCUCACAAGCCGGGACCCCUGAGGGGAUGUCAGAGAGCCAGUUUCGGCCUGAUCCCUACAGGCCAGGCAGAGGGACCCCACUGGUGCACAAAUCCAUGCACUGGGCCUCUAAUCCUGCUGGGUCCUGCCAGAAAAACAGAGGGUGUUCAAUGAGGGAGCACACUUAAUGGAAAAUUCGUUGCAUUUUUUCUAAUGCUUAAAUUGGUAGUCUGUGUGUCAUAUGCUGAACACAUAGAAAUUCAUGUACGUGCAUGGGGAAGUUCAACACAAUCUGGUAAAUGUCCAUAAAUUUGA